RNAcentral lists this ribosomal RNA (465 nucleotides) under Vreelandella stevensii. Its description in RNAcentral is "partial 16S ribosomal RNA". It matches the Rfam family "Bacterial small subunit ribosomal RNA", at positions 338 to 795 of the family's 1533-position model. Lineage: Bacteria; Pseudomonadati; Pseudomonadota; Gammaproteobacteria; Oceanospirillales; Halomonadaceae. The record is from RNAcentral.
CCUACGGGGGGCAGCAGUGGGGAAUAUUGGACAAUGGGGGCAACCCUGAUCCAGCCAUGCCGCGUGUGUGAAGAAGGCCCUCGGGUUGUAAAGCACUUUCAGUGAGGAAGAACGCCUGGUGGUUAAUACCCAUCAGGAAAGACAUCACUCACAGAAGAAGCACCGGCUAACUCCGUGCCAGCAGCCGCGGUAAUACGGAGGGUGCGAGCGUUAAUCGGAAUUACUGGGCGUAAAGCGCGCGUAGGUGGCUUGAUAAGCCGGUUGUGAAAGCCCCGGGCUCAACCUGGGAACGGCAUCCGGAACUGUCAAGCUAGAGUGCAGGAGAGGAAGGUAGAUUUCCCGGUGUAGCGGUGAAAUGCGUAGAGAUCGGGAGGAAUACCAGUGGCGAAGGCGGCCUUCUGGACUGACACUGACACUGAGGUGCGAAAGCGUGGGUAGCAAACAGGAUUAGAUACCCCAGUAGUC